Molecule: long non-coding RNA, 5224 nt
Filed under: Sus scrofa (pig)
Lineage: Eukaryota; Metazoa; Chordata; Mammalia; Artiodactyla; Suidae
Description: lncRNA (ENSSSCG00000041797.1)
Source: RNAcentral
UUUUUUUUUUCUUUUUCAGGCUGCACCUGCGGUAUAUGGGAGCUCCCAGGCUGGCGGCUGAAUUGGAGCUGCAGCUGCUGGCCACAGCCACAACCAGAGCAAUGCCAUACCCAAGCCACAUCUGUGACCUACACCAUAGCUCAUGGAAAUGCCGCAUCCUUAACCCACUGAGUGAGGCCAGGGAUUGAACCUGAAUCUUCAGGGAUCCUAGUCAGUUUCAUUACCAGCUGAGACACAACGGGAACUCCUAAUAACACAAUUUUAAAGAAGAAUACUAGAGGAGUUCUCUUGCGGCACAGGGGGUUAAGGACCCGGCAUUAUUACUACAGUCACUUGGGUCGCUGCUGGGGCAUGGGUUGGAACCCUGGCCUAGGAACUUCUAUAUACGUGGGCUCAGCCAAAAAAAGAAAAAGAAGAAAAACGCUAGAAACCAAGCAAACACAUCUACAGGGCACUUGUGGCCUAAAGGUUAUCAGACUGGACCCCGGCUUAUACUUUGACUGAAAGCCCUGGACUGCCUCUGGAUGGGCCGUACCUUCUGACUCUUUGAUCCUAUAUAGUUUCACAAACAGCCCUUUCUCUACUCACACAGUCCCUAGUUUUCUGAAGUCAGGACUGGUCAGUACACCUCUGAGGCCCAAGACCACCCAAGAAGAGACAGUCUGUCUUUCUCUUCUGCCUUUCUCCCGACAGGCUCCCAUGGAAGUAGGGUUGAAAAACUUCACCCCAAAAAACAAACCCUUUAGGAAGCUCCUGCUUCCUAGGCCUCAGAGGGUCUCUAUCAGCUGCAACCCACUUUUCAAUCAAUCUUAUCUGUAAUGUUUGCAGACUGCGCCGGCCACCCCCAAAGCCAGCUGUGUUAUCAGCAAUCAGCAGCAUGGUGAGGACAGAGCAUAGGCACAGUUGAGAACAAGGCUAAAAAUAACCAUUUUCAAAUUAAAGUCCUGAAUUGGAAAGGAAAGGAGGGAGGAGAAGCAAGACACGGUAGGGCAGGUUUUAUUUACUUACACCCAUGAAUCAAAGAUAAAAGGAGGAAAAAGACAUUUCGAAGGAGUUGGGACUAUGGCAGAAUUGUUUUCAUCUCCAGGAAUGUCAAAACACAAAUGAUGAUGCAAAGCAAAUGCCUGUCAGACAAACCCAAAAGAAGCUUAUUUACACAUUUGGGAUGAGCGGGGUUGUAAAUGAAGGUUUAAUUGGGAAAAUCUGCCUAGUCAUUUGAACAAGCAGACCUAAAAACAGACAUAACACAGUGUUGAGAGGAAAAUGAAUUUAAGGAAGUUUCUUUUCCAUUGCUUUACUCUAAUACAUUUCCCCCAUUCCUCUGCCUCUAUUCCAUUUUCAUUUCUAUUAGAAAAAACACUUCUCAGCAUUUCCCAGGCUGCCCUUAACCUUUCUGACUUGCUCACUUGGGGCCUGUGGAAGACAAAGCAUUCUUUCAAUGACUGGAGACAGGCUCUGGGCAGUACCCAACGCACACAGGCUGACCUCCAGGGCUGGGAGGGUGGCUUCCUAAAAGCAAACAGCGCAAAGGCUAAUGGAUUAGGGAAGGUGUGUAGACUGCUCAACCGGAUGUGCAGCAAACAAAAAGUAUUCAAUAAACAUUAGUUUCUUUACCUGCCACUCACUGCAGAAUUGGCAUUUAUUACCAAAUAUAUGUAUCUCUCACCUACUCACAUCUACAAUAAGAAUUUUUUCUGGGAAGAAUUGUAUCAAUAUAGUAAUAAUGAUUAUUUUUAGAUGGAAGGUUAUGGUUGAUGCAGUUUCCUUCUUUAUAUUUUUAUUCAAGUUUUUUAAUUUUCUGCAAUAUCAAAGAAAAAUAAGAUGAUUUUUAAAUCCAAAAUUCUGGAUGCUAUUAUAUUAAGUGUGUGUCCCUUGAUCAGACCUUCUAGUAAAAUCGAUUCACUAGUGAGUUUUAAAACUCAGGUUUUCGUUCUCUUUUUUGGCUCUUUCAAACAGUGCCAAAAUUUGGCAUUUUGCCAAUUUUUACUGAGGAGGAUUGGUCCUAACACCAGCUCUGAAUUGAUUGUGAUGCCAUUUGUCAUGACUGUAAUCUCCCAAAACAUGCCCAAAAAAGCACAUAUAAACAUAAAAGUAAUUAGUAGAACAUACACAAUUUGUUUCAUCUUUUGGCCAUUAUUCUUAGGUAAGACUCUGUUAUCUGUGGCAGAUAUUUAGAAUGAACUGUACCGUUUCCCCCUCAGUGCACCUAGUUUCAGAACUUGUAUGGUGGACAGUUCCGUGCAUCUUCACCAGCAUCCCAUGGUGCCUCUCUGUACUGCUUUCUAUAAGUUGGGGAAAAUAGCUUAGUCAGAUGAAGGUGCAACCCGGAGACGUGAGAUGUGCAACCCCAAUGCAAUGCUCAUGCAACGAGAGACAAAAGUCUAUGGAUAAACAUCCCAAUGUUUUGUUCUCCAGCAGGAUAAUUCUAAGCAGAAAUCAGCCCAUUAACACAUACUCUUUUGUUUUUCUGCCUUUCUUGUCCCUCUCUCCAUUUUCCCACAUUUCUGUUUUCUGUGAUCACAACCAAAAUAAAAUCUCAUAUCAACUCCUUGUCUUAGGGUCAGCUUUAAGGGGCAGGAGGAGGUGCGGCUGGACCCAGAGUAAGACAUCAUAAUUAUAAUUCACAGGUUAAAAGGAGUCUUCAAGUCACUAAUGACAAUAAUGUCCCUAAUAACAAAUGCAGUUGACAUUUUAUUCGUUAGAAUGUGGUGCCAAAGGCAAACUGACCGUAUAAACAACACUCACAUAGAAUGGGACUGAAACAAAAUACCUUUCUGUCUAGACAUGCUAUUAGUUAUACAGAACUGUGCCAGACACUGAGACAAAAUGAACAAGUAAAUAAGUGCUGGGGAGUUCCCUGGCGGUCUAGUGGUUAGACUUUGGCACUUCACCACCACAACUCAGGUAUAAUUCCUGGUCUGGGAACUGAGAUCCCACAUCAAGCUACAUAGAAAAAAAAAAAAAAAAAAAAAGAGUUUGCAUCAUGGCUCAGCUAACGAACCCGACCAGUAUCCAUGAGGAUGUGGAUUCAAUCCCUGGCCUCAUUCAGUGAGUCAAGGAUCCGGACUGCCUUGAGCAUAGGCCACAGAUUCGGCUCGGAUCUGGUGUUGCUGUGGCUGUGGUGUAGGCCAGCAGCUACAGCUUCAAUUUGAUCCCUAGCCUGGGAACUUACAUACACCAUGGGUGCAGCCCUAAAAAGACAAAAAAAAAAAAAAAAAAUGCAAGUGCUCUCAACAGUCCAUGAGUAAAACCUAUAUUUUUCUAACUGCUGACCUUAAAGAACCAAGUCCAAGGCACAUGAUAGCGGAGUUCCCUGGUGGGGAGCGACAGGCAUGGAAGACUUGCCUCAUUCAACAGUAACUGCCUUCUUAUUCUUGAUUUUUGAUUUCUGACAGCCUAAUAGUAGAAGAGGAAUUAUGUCAAGUUUCCUGCUUAGCAUGAGCUCUGCCACAGGACCAAGACAUAUAAUAUGUAUACUUGCUUUCCUGCCACAAAGCUGUGACACUUUAUCAAAGCUUCACAAAGUCAUUCCCUCUUAGUAUAACUCUGGACAACUUGUGUCCAUCUUCGCUCGGGGACAAGGACAUUCACUGUAUCCUAUUUUCAUUGACUUUUCUAAACAUUAUAUAAAUGUUGACACACAUUUGACAAAACAAAUUCACUAAUUAAAUCCCUUUUCUCCCUCAACAUUAUUUAUAAUCUAAUAAUUUAAUAACUAUGAAUCCCAGAUUCCUCACUAAAUAUAUGACCUCGCUUAGUCAAACUUCAGUAUUUUGUUCUAUAAAAUAUAAGCAGCAAUAAAACACUGUACCUUGUUGUGAAUGUUACAAAAACCCCUGAAAUGUGUUUUGUGAAGUCUCUAGCACAAAAACACAUCUAAAUGUUAAAUACUAUUAUUAAAAUCAGAUCCAAUUAUAAUAAUAACUGCACGAUGAAAAAAUACCAAGUCAGUUUCGCACUUAGAAUCUGAAGACCCUUUAACUAAAAGAUAUAUAAGGUCUCUCAUUCUAACCUUUUCAUUUUCCUAUGCAAUUUAACCUUCAUUAAAACUGAAUUAUAAAAUGUAAAGACAUGAAUUUCUAAAAAAGCAAAAAUGAUCAAGAUACCCAUCUGGGGAUCUCACAACAGAGAAAGGAAAGCAGAUAUACAGAUUUCUUUUUUUUUCAAUUUUUUAAAAAUUUUAAAUGAUUUUUUUUCCCCAUUACAGCUGGUUUACAGUGUUCUGUUAAUUUUCUACUGUAUAGCAAGGUGACCAGUCACAGACACAUAUAUACAAUUUCUUUUUCUCGCAUUAUCCUCCAUCAUGCUCCAUCGUUAAGUGACUAGAUACAGUUCCCGCUGCUAUACAGCAGGACAUACACAGAUUUCAUCAUGCACUAAACAUUUCUGAAAUGCCAGCUUUGUACUAGAACUGCACUAGGAAAUAGAGACACGAAGACAAAUAAGACUCUUAGUCUCCUCUGACAGAAGCAGCUGUCCAGUGAACAAAUAAAGAGCCCAAGUAUCAGUAUGGUAUGUACAAUGUAACAGGAGACGACCUUAAAAGGAAUAAGGAGCUCUCUUCAGGGGAGGUGGAGAUGGGGGAAGAUGAGGUAACGCUUCACAGUUAUGACUAUUCAACUGGAUGUGAAGGAGGAAUAGGAGUCAGCAAGUUAAUCAAUGGGAAAAGGGGGUUCCAGAACACAGAAUAUACAAAAGCAAAGAAUCCUGGAAGAAUAUAGUGUCUUCAGGGAACUCCACGUAGUUCAAUUGGAUUGGACCCAGGAGCAAUGGGGACCACAGGAGAAAAGAUGUGGGAAAACAAUUCUCAAAAUGGUCAACGGUGAUUAUUUUGAAAUGACCAUAACGGCAUUAUAGGUAAAACUGUACGAAAUACUAAAGGCCCCUAAGGUUGGCUCCCUUGCCCACUUUCACAUAACUAGCUUAUGCCAAAACUAAAACUAGAAGCUAAAUAUCCAGCACAAAUGAACAUCUCCUCAGAAAAGAAAAUCAUGGACUUGGAGAAGAGACUUGUGGCUGCCUGAUGGGAGGGGGAGGGAGUGGGAGGGAUCGGGAGCUUGGGCUUAUCAGACACAACUUAGAAUAGAUUUACAAGGAGAUCCUGCUGAAUAGCAUUGAGAACUAUGUCUAGAUACUCAUGUGCAACAGAACAAAGGGUGGGGGAAAAACUGUAAUUGUAAUGUAUACAUGUAAGGAUAACCUGACCCCCUUGCUGUACAGUGGG